Molecule: ribosomal RNA, 305 nt
Filed under: uncultured bacterium
Lineage: Bacteria
Description: bacterial SSU rRNA
Rfam family: Bacterial small subunit ribosomal RNA
Source: RNAcentral
GUGACUACGGGGGGCAGCAGUGGGGAAUAUUGCACAAUGGGGGAAACCCUGAUGCAGCGACGCCGCGUGAGCGAUGAAGUAUCUCGGUAUGUAAAGCUCUAUCAGCAGGGAAGAAAGUGACAGUACCUGACUAAGAAGCCCCGGCUAACUACGUGCCAGCAGCCGCGGUAAUACGUAGGGGGCAAGCGUUAUCCGGAUUUACUGGGUGUAAAGGGAGCGUAGACGGCGAUGCAAGUCUGAAGUGGAAGGCGGGGGCCCAACCCCCGGACUGCUUUGGAAACUGUAUAGCUGGAGUGCAGGAGAGG